RNAcentral lists this ribosomal RNA (471 nucleotides) under uncultured Alphaproteobacteria bacterium. Its description in RNAcentral is "bacterial SSU rRNA". It matches the Rfam family "Bacterial small subunit ribosomal RNA", at positions 9 to 524 of the family's 1533-position model. The record is from RNAcentral. Lineage: Bacteria; Pseudomonadati; Pseudomonadota; Alphaproteobacteria.
GAGUUUGAUCCUGGCUCAGAGCGAACGCUGGCGGCAGGCUUAACACAUGCAAGUCGAGCGGACGUAGCAAUACGUCAGCGGCAGACGGGAGAGUAACACGUGGGAACGCGCCCUUCGGUUCGGAAUAACUCAGGGAAACUUGAGCUAAUACCGGAUACGCCCUUACGGGGAAAGAUUUAUUGCCGAAGGAACGGCCCGCGUCUGAUUAGCUAGUUGGUGAGGUAAUGGCUCACCAAGGCGACGAUCAGUAGCUGGUCUGAGAGGAUGACCAGCCUCACUGGGACUGAGACACGGCCCAGACUCCUACGGGAGGCAGCAGUGGGGAAUAUUGGACAAUGGGCGCAAGCCUGAUCCAGCCAUGCCGCGUGGAUGAUGAAGGCCUUAGGGUUGUAAAGUCCUUUUAACGGGGAAGAUAAUGACGGUACCCGUAGAAUAAGCCCCGGCUAACUUCGUGCCAGCCGCCGCAGUAAG